Molecule: ribosomal RNA, 442 nt
Filed under: uncultured Derxia sp.
Lineage: Bacteria; Pseudomonadati; Pseudomonadota; Betaproteobacteria; Burkholderiales; Alcaligenaceae
Description: bacterial SSU rRNA
Rfam family: Bacterial small subunit ribosomal RNA
Source: RNAcentral
UGGAUGAUGUGAUUAAUUCGAUGCAACGCGAAAACCUUACUACGCUUGACAUGUCAGGAACCUCGAAGAGAUUUGAGGGUGCCCGAAAGGGAACCUGAACACAGGUGCUGCAUGGCUGUCGUCAGCUCGUGUCGUGAGAUGUUGGGUUAAGUCCCGCAACGAGCGCAACCCUUAUCAUUAGUUGCUACGCAAGGGCACUCUAAUGAGACUGCCGGUGACAAACCGGAGGAAGGUGGGGAUGACGUCAAGUCCUCAUGGCCCUUAUGCGUAGGGCUUCACACGUCAUACGAUGGUCGGUACAGAGGGUUGCCAACCCGCGAGGGGGAGCCAAUCCCACAAAGCCGAUCGUAGUCCGGAUUGCAGUCUGCAACUCGACUGCAUGAAGUCGGAAUCGCUAGUAAUCGCGGAUCAGCAUGUCGCGGUGAAUACGUUCCCGGGUCUU